This 543-nucleotide ribosomal RNA is filed under the name uncultured bacterium. RNAcentral's name for it is "partial 16S ribosomal RNA". It matches the Rfam family "Bacterial small subunit ribosomal RNA", at positions 355 to 914 of the family's 1533-position model. The record is from RNAcentral.
UGGGGAAUAUUGCACAAUGGGCGAAAGCCUGAUGCAGCAACGCCGCGUGAGUGAUGAAGGCCUUCGGGUUGUAAAGCUCUGUCUUUUGGGACGAUAAUGACGGUACCAAAGGAGGAAGCCACGGCUAACUACGUGCCAGCAGCCGCGGUAAUACGUAGGUGGCAAGCGUUGUCCGGAUUUACUGGGCGUAAAGGAUGCGUAGGCGGAUUUUUAAGUGAGAUGUGAAAACCCUAAGCUUAACUUGGGGACUGCAUUUCAUACUGGAAAUCUAGAGUGCGGGAGAGGAGAAUGGAAUUCCUAGUGUAGCGGUGAAAUGCGUAGAGAUUAGGAAGAACACCAGUGGCGAAGGCGAUUCUCUGGACCGUAACUGACGCUGAGGCAUGAAAGCGUGGGUAGCAAACAGGAUUAGAUACCCUGGUAGUCCACGCCGUAAACGAUGAGUACUAGGUGUAGGAGGUAUCGACCCCUUCUGUGCCGCAGUUAACACAAUAAGUANUCCGCCUGGGAAGUACGAUCGCAAGAUUAAAACUCAAAUGAAUUGAC